This 205-nucleotide ribosomal RNA is filed under the name uncultured bacterium. RNAcentral's name for it is "partial 16S ribosomal RNA". It matches the Rfam family "Bacterial small subunit ribosomal RNA", at positions 524 to 728 of the family's 1533-position model. The record is from RNAcentral.
UACGGGGGGGGCAAGCGUUGUUCGGAAUUACUGGGCGUAAAGGGCUCGUAGGUGGCCAACUAAGUCAGACGUGAAAUCCCUCAGCUUAACUGGGGAACUGCGUCUGAUACUGGAUGGCUUGAGUUUGGGAGAGGGAUGCGGAAUUCCAGGUGUAGCGGUGAAAUGCGCAGAUAUCAGGAGGAACACCGGCGGCGAAGGCGGGAUG